GUAUUUAGCGGACAGGGAUCACGAUCACAAAGGUAGUUUUCCCAGGGUGAGAUUUAUCUAUUGUUCUCUGGAUAUGCUGCAAUUUCCCCAAAUGUGGGAGAGUCAACUGCAUCACCUGUGGUAGUACGGACUGUGUUCACGCUUUCCCCU
Molecule: small nuclear RNA, 150 nt
Filed under: Chinchilla lanigera (long-tailed chinchilla)
Lineage: Eukaryota; Metazoa; Chordata; Mammalia; Rodentia; Chinchillidae
Description: U1 spliceosomal RNA (ENSCLAG00000019990.1)
Rfam family: U1 spliceosomal RNA
About the family: U1 is a small nuclear RNA (snRNA) component of the spliceosome (involved in pre-mRNA splicing). Its 5' end forms complementary base pairs with the 5' splice junction, thus defining the 5' donor site of an intron.
Source: RNAcentral